RNAcentral lists this ribosomal RNA (1135 nucleotides) under soil metagenome. RNAcentral's name for it is "bacterial LSU rRNA". It matches the Rfam family "Bacterial large subunit ribosomal RNA", at positions 1037 to 2149 of the family's 2925-position model. The record is from RNAcentral.
GUCUAAGGCCCCCAAUCACUAGCUAAGUGGGAAACGAAGUGGGAGGGCACAAACAGCCAGGAGGUUGGCUUAGAAGCAGCCAUCCUUUAAAGAAAGCGUAAUAGCUCACUGGUCGAGUCUUCCUGCGCGGAAGAUGUAACGGGGCUCAAGCUAGUAGCCGAAGACGCGGAUUCGAGCGCAAGCUCGAGUGGUAGGGGAGCGUUCCGUACGCCUGCGAAGGUGGAUCGUAAGGUCCGCUGGAGGUAUCGGAAGUGCGAAUGCUGACAUGAGUAGCGUUAAAGCGGGUGAAAAGCCCGCUCGCCGUAAGCCCAAGGUUUCCUGCGCCACGUUCAUCGGCGCAGGGUGAGUCGGCUCCUAAGGCGAGGCCGAAAGGCGUAGCUGAUGGAAAACAGGUCAAUAUUCCUGUACCUCGCCAUGAUGCGAUGAGGGGACGGAGAAGGUUAUGCAGGCCGGGUGUUGGAUGUCCCGGUUUAAGCGUGUAGGCGUGCCGCGUAGGCAAAUCCGCGUGGCUUAGUCGAGACGUGAUGACGACCGCCCUUUUGGGCGGGAAGCUGCAGAUACCAUGCUUCCAGGAAAAGCCUCUAAGCUUCAGUCAUGGUGGGACCGUACCGCAAACCGACACUGGUGGGCGAGAUGAGUAUUCUCAGGCGCUUGAGAGAACUCGGGAGAAGGAACUCGGCAAAUUGACACCGUAACUUCGGAAGAAGGUGUGCCUCCGGUAGGUGGAGAAAUUUACUUUCCGAGCCGAAGGGGGUUGCAGAGAAAUGGGGGUGGCGACUGUUUACUAAAAACACAGGACUCUGCCAAGUCGCAAGACGAUGUAUAGGGUCUGACGCCUGCCCGGUGCCGGAACGUUAAGGGGAGGGGUCAUUCGGGUUCGCCCGGAGAAGCUCUAAACCGAAGCGCCGGUAAACGGCGGCCGUAACUAUAACGGUCCUAAGGUAGCGAAAUUCCUUGUCGGGUAAGUUCCGACCUGCACGAAUGGCGUAACGACUUCCCCGCUGUCUCCAACAUCGACUCAGCGAAACUGAAUUCUCCGUGAAGAUGCGGAGUACCCGCGGUUAGACGGAAAGACCCCGUGCACCUUUACUACAGCUUUGCAGUGGUAUUAGGGUCGGCAUGUGUAGGAUAGGCG